RNAcentral lists this ribosomal RNA (492 nucleotides) under uncultured bacterium. RNAcentral describes it as "partial 16S ribosomal RNA". It matches the Rfam family "Bacterial small subunit ribosomal RNA", at positions 29 to 507 of the family's 1533-position model. The record is from RNAcentral.
AGUGAACGCUGGCGGUAGGCCUAACACAUGCAAGUCGAACGGCAGCACAGUAAGAGCUUGCUCUUACGGGUGGCGAGUGGCGGACGGGUGAGGAAUACAUCGGGAUCUACUUUUUCGUGGGGGAUAACGUAGGGAAACUUACGCUAAUACCGCAUACGACCUACGGGGGAAAGCAGGGGAUCUUCGGACCUUGCGCGAUUGAAUGAGCCGAUGUCGGAUUAGCUAGUUGGCGGGGUAAAGGCCCACCAAGGCGACGAUCCGUAGCUGGUCUGAGAGGAUGAUCAGCCACACUGGAACUGAGACACGGUCCAGACUCCUACGGGAGGCAGCAGUGGGGAAUAUUGGACAAUGGGCGCAAGCCUGAUCCAGCCAUACCGCGUGGGUGAAGAAGGCCUUCGGGUUGUAAAGCCCUUUUGUUGGGAAAGAAAAGCAGCAGGUUAAUACCCCGCUGUUCUGACGGUACCCAAAGAAUAAGCACCGGCUAACUUCGUG